This 253-nucleotide ribosomal RNA is filed under the name uncultured bacterium. RNAcentral describes it as "partial 16S ribosomal RNA". It matches the Rfam family "Bacterial small subunit ribosomal RNA", at positions 524 to 776 of the family's 1533-position model. The record is from RNAcentral.
UACAUGGGGUGCAAACGUUGCUCGGAAUUAUUGGGCGUAAAGCGCGCGUAGGCGGUUACUCAAGUCGGAUGUGAAAGCCCUCGGCUCAACUGGGGAGGGUCACGCGAUACUGAUCGACUCGAAGGCAGGAGAGGGUAGUGGAAUUCCCGGUGUAGUGGUGAAAUGCGUAGAUAUCUGGAGGAAUACCGGUGGCGAAGGCGGCAUCCUGGACCGACAUUGACGCUGAUGAGCGAAAGCUAGGGGAGCAAACGGG